GGGUCAUUAGGUUGGUCGUGCCACCGGUACGUACUGGUCUCGCUGAUUCCUCCUUCCUGAAGAACCGUAAUGCCAUUAAUUUGGUGUUGCGGGGAAACAGGACUGUUACUUUGAAAAAAUUAGAGUGUUUAAAGCAAGCUAACGCUUGAAUACAUUAGCAUGGAAUAAUGAAAUAGGACGAUCGAUCCUAUUUUGUUGGUUUCUAGGAUUGACGUA
RNAcentral lists this ribosomal RNA (216 nucleotides) under Glomeromycotina sp. Its description in RNAcentral is "partial small subunit ribosomal RNA". The stretch from base 44 to 216 matches the Rfam family "Eukaryotic small subunit ribosomal RNA", at positions 690 to 864 of the family's 1831-position model. The record is from RNAcentral. Lineage: Eukaryota; Fungi; Glomeromycota.